This 229-nucleotide ribosomal RNA is filed under the name uncultured bacterium. RNAcentral describes it as "partial 16S ribosomal RNA". It matches the Rfam family "Bacterial small subunit ribosomal RNA", at positions 568 to 796 of the family's 1533-position model. The record is from RNAcentral.
UGCGUAGGCGGAUUGAUAAGUCAGUGGUGAAAACCUUCAGCUUAACUGGAGACUUGCCAUUGAUACUGUUAGUCUUGAGUACGGUCAAGGUAGGCGGAAUGUGUAAUGUAGCGGUGAAAUGCUUAGAUAUUACACAGAACACCGAUUGCGAAGGCAGCUUACUGGGCCAUUACUGACGCUGAGGCACGAAAGCGUGGGGAGCGAACAGGAUUAGAUACCCUGGUAGUCC